Molecule: ribosomal RNA, 422 nt
Filed under: uncultured bacterium
Lineage: Bacteria
Description: partial 16S ribosomal RNA
Rfam family: Bacterial small subunit ribosomal RNA
Source: RNAcentral
AAUAUUGGAGAAUGGGGGCAACCAGGAUCCAACCAUCUGGCGGGCGUGAGGAAGGCCGUCGGAUUGUAAAUCACUUUAAGGUGGGCGGAAGUGCUUUCGGCUAAUACCCUGAAGCUGUGACGUUACGAACAGAAUAAGCACCUGCUGACUCUGUGCCAGCAGCCGCGGUAACACAGAGGGUGCAAGAGUUAAUCGGAAUUACUGGGCGUAAAGCGCGCGUAGGUGGUUCAGUAAGAUGGGUGUGAAAUCCCCGUGCUUAACCUGGGAACUGCUUUCAUAACUGCUGAGCUAGAGUACGGUAGAGGGUAGUGGAAUUUCCUGUGUAGCGGUGAAAUGCGUAGAUAUAGGAAGGAACACCAGUGGCGAAGGCGACUACCUGGACUGAUACUGACACUGAGGUGCGAAAGCGUGGGGAGCAAACA